Molecule: non-coding RNA, 140 nt
Organism: Caenorhabditis elegans
Lineage: Eukaryota; Metazoa; Nematoda; Chromadorea; Rhabditida; Rhabditidae
Source: Ensembl
GAUAGGUUCCACUGAGAUUUGAACUCGGGUCGCAGGAUUCAAAGUCCUGAGUGCUAACCGCUACACCAUGGAACCUGGCAAAAGCUGGAUUCUCAAUUAACGCUGAUAAUCUUUCCGCAACGCACCAAAAAUCAAAAUUG